AGACGUGUGGCCCUGACUAAGUCACCCAACAAUAGAAAUAAUGGCUGAAAAAGAGUCAGCAUCACCACAGCUCAUGGUUCCAAUUCUUCUCCUGGUUGGAUGGAUUGUAGGCUGUAUCAUAGUGGUUUACAUUGUCUUCUCCUAGAAAAGCAAGAAGACUUCAGGCUGAUAUCACUUAGAAGAACUAAGAAAAAUAAGAACAUGGCUGAUCAUUAAAAAU
Phodopus roborovskii (desert hamster) is the source of this 220-nucleotide long non-coding RNA. RefSeq lists it as uncharacterized. The record is from RefSeq and is a predicted model, not a curated record. NCBI's taxonomy places the organism in Eukaryota, Metazoa, Chordata, Mammalia, Rodentia, Cricetidae. The transcript has 3 exons.